UGGGGAAUAUUGCACAAUGGGCGCAAGCCUGAUGCAGCCAUGCCGCGUGUAUGAAGAAGGCCUUCGGGUUGUAAAGUACUUUCAGCGGGGAGGAAGGUGUUGAGGUUAAUAACCUCAGCAAUUGACGUUACCCGCAGAAGAAGCACCGGCUAACUCCGUGCCAGCAGCCGCGGUAAUACGGAGGGUGCAAGCGUUAAUCGGAAUUACUGGGCGUAAAGCGCACGCAGGCGGUCUGUCAAGUCGGAUGUGAAAUCCCCGGGCUCAACCUGGGAACUGCAUUCGAAACUGGCAGGCUAGAGUCUUGUAGAGGGGGGUAGAAUUCCAGGUGUAGCGGUGAAAUGCGUAGAGAUCUGGAGGAAUACCGGUGGCGAAGGCGGCCCCCUGGGCAAAGACUGACG
This 398-nucleotide ribosomal RNA is filed under the name uncultured bacterium. Its description in RNAcentral is "partial 16S ribosomal RNA". It matches the Rfam family "Bacterial small subunit ribosomal RNA", at positions 355 to 745 of the family's 1533-position model. The record is from RNAcentral.